AUGAACGCUGGCGGCGUGCCUAAUACAUGCAAGUCGAGCGAACAGACGAGGAGCUUGCUCCUCUGACGUUAGCGGCGGACGGGGGAGUAACACGUGGAUAACCUACCUAUAAGACUGGGAUAACUUCGGGAAACCGGAGCUAAUACCGGAUAAUAUAUUGAACCGCAUGGUUCAAUAGUGAAAGACGGUUUUGCUGUCACUUAUAGAUGGAUCCGCGCCGCAUUAGCUAGUUGGUAAGGUAACGGCUUACCAAGGCGACGAUGCGUAGCCGACCUGAGAGGGUGAUCGGCCACACUGGAACUGAGACACGGUCCAGACUCCUACGGGAGGCAGCAGUAGGGAAUCUUCCGCAAUGGGCGAAAGCCUGACGGAGCAACGCCGCGUGAGUGAUGAAGGUCUUCGGAUCGUAAAACUCUGUUAUUAGGGAAGAACAAAUGUGUAAGUAACUAUGCACGUCUUGACGGUACCUAAUCAGAAAGCCACGGCUAACUACGUG
This 496-nucleotide ribosomal RNA is filed under the name uncultured bacterium. RNAcentral's name for it is "partial 16S ribosomal RNA". It matches the Rfam family "Bacterial small subunit ribosomal RNA", at positions 29 to 507 of the family's 1533-position model. The record is from RNAcentral.